AAGUCGUAACAAGGUAACCGUAGGUGAACCUGCGGUUGGAUCAUUAACAAAAAGAUAGGGGUCAGACCUUAAAACGUCUGGCCUUUAUAAACCCCUGUGCACUUGUAAUGUUUGAGGCAAGGUCAAAUUGGAGACCCGGUAGGGUCUUUGGGAGAGUCUGAAGGCAAACUAGCACCUAGUGCUGAUGCGCGUUCACUCCCCCCCUUGCCUCUGCAUCAACAUUUAACAUGUAUAUCUUGAGCUAGUUUAUUUAUUAUAUUAAUAUCUAACAACUUUUGACAACGGAUCUCUAGGCUCUC
RNAcentral lists this unclassified non-coding RNA (299 nucleotides) under fungal sp. RNAcentral describes it as "partial internal transcribed spacer region". The stretch from base 1 to 46 matches the Rfam family "Eukaryotic small subunit ribosomal RNA", at positions 1786 to 1831 of the family's 1831-position model. Lineage: Eukaryota; Fungi. The record is from RNAcentral.